GCGAAACCUUUACACUGCACGAGAGUGCGAUAAGGGGACUCCAAGUGCGAGGGCAUAUAGUCCUCGCUUUUCACCACCGUAAGGAGGUGGUAGAAUAAGUGCUGGGCAAGACCGGUGCCAGCCGCCGCGGUAAUACCGGCAGCACAAAGUGAUGACCGCUAUUAUUGGGCCUAAAGCGUCCGUAGCUGGCCUCACAAGUCCAUCGGGAAAUCCGCGCGCUCAACGCGCGGGCGUCCGGUGGAAACUGUGUGGCUUGGGACCGGAAGAUCCAGAGGGUACGUCCGGGGUAGGAGUGAAAUCCCGUAAUCCUGGACGGACCACCGGUGGCGAAAGCGCUCUGGAAAGACGGAUCCGACGGUGAGGGACGAAAGCUUGGGUCACGAACCGGAUUAGAUACCCGGGUAGUCCAAGCUGUAAACGAUGUCUGCUAGGUGUGACACAGGCUACGAGCCUGUGUUGUGCCGUAGGGAAGCCGUGAAGCAGACCGCCUGGGAAGUACGUCCGCAAGGAUGAAACUUAAAGGAAUUGGCGGGGGAGCACUACAACCGGAGGAGCCUGCGGUUUAAUUGGACUCAACGCCGGACAUCUCACCAGCAUCGACAAUGUGCAGUGAAGGUCAGUGUGAUGACCUUACCGGAGCCAUUGAGAGGAGGUGCAUGGCCGCCGUCAGCUCGUACCGUGAGGCGUCCUGUUAAGUCAGGCAACGAGCGAGACCCGCACUCCUAAUUGCCAGCAAUACCCUUGUGGUAGUUGGGUACAUUAGGAGGACUGCCAGUGCCAAACUGGAGGAAGGAACGGGCAACGGUAGGUCAGUAUGCCCCGAAUGUGCUGGGCGACACGCGGGCUACAAUGGCCGAGACAGUGGGAUGCCACCCCGAAAGGGGGCGCUAAUCUCCGAAACUCGGUCGUAGUUCGGAUUGAGGGCUGAAACUCGCCCUCAUGAAGCUGGAUUCGGUAGUAAUCGCCGUUCAGAAGACGGCGGUGAAUACGUCCCUGCUCCUUGCACACACCGCCCGUCAAAGCACCCGAGUGGGGUCCGGAUGAGGCCGACGUUACGUCGGUCGAA
RNAcentral lists this ribosomal RNA (1066 nucleotides) under Haloterrigena sp. LV_12S36. Its description in RNAcentral is "bacterial SSU rRNA". It matches the Rfam family "Archaeal small subunit ribosomal RNA", at positions 341 to 1407 of the family's 1478-position model. The record is from RNAcentral. Lineage: Archaea; Methanobacteriati; Methanobacteriota; Halobacteria; Halobacteriales; Natrialbaceae.